RNAcentral lists this non-coding RNA (45 nucleotides) under Schistosoma margrebowiei. The record is from RNAcentral. Lineage: Eukaryota; Metazoa; Platyhelminthes; Trematoda; Strigeidida; Schistosomatidae.
AUUUAGCUUACCAGUCCCAAACAAGACGAAACGAGUGUCCUGAAU